CGUAAUCAGCUGGUUACUUUACGUAAAACUGCCGUAUGUCGCAAAACAGCCAAAGAGCCCACACGUAGUUGGCAGCUAUUAUUCACUACAGUAUAUAUCGUUUUAUUUACUAUUCAAGAUAACUGCUACAAUGGAAAUCUUACGUCCAUCAUUGAUCAACAUAAGUGGAAGAGUAUACAGAAGAAAUACCAUCAAAGAAGACCAGUAUGAAGAGGGGGAUGUGGACGACUCCUACAUGGGACCACCAGCAAGUGAACAGUUUGACGAAGAAGAAGAGUUCUGUGACAGCCACUCCAUAGAACAGACGGACGAAGGUUUCAGCUGCGCCAUUGAUGUCCCAAGUGUUCUUUACAAAUACAUCAUCGGAAGGAAAGGAGAGACACGUAGAAGACUCGAGGCAGACACUAAGACAGACAUCCACAUUCCAAAACAAGGAGUGGAAGGACAGAUCGUGAUCACUGGCUCCCAGAAGGCCGCGGUGUCCUCUGCUGUGACUCGUGUCGAGCUCCUGGUGCAGAGCUUUCGCAAGAAGCAGCCGUUCACCCACUUCCUGUCGUUCGCUCUUAACCACCCUCAAGUUCAGGAUGGAUUCCUGAGGUUUAAAGAGGAGGUGUUGGAGCAGUGUUCUCAGGACCACGGAGUAGAUGGAAGCAUCUUCCAGAAUCCUGCUAAGCUCCAUCUGACAGUCGGCACCCUGGCUCUGCUGAACGACCUGGAAGUGACCCAAGCAUGUAAACAACUCCAGCACUGUCAGGACUUUAUCAAGACCAUCACAGAAGGGAAGCCUCUCCCGCUGGAGGUGACAGGGAUUGAGUACAUGAACGAUGACCCAGCCAUGGUGGAUGUCCUGUAUGCCAAGGUCCAAGUGAAAGAUGGUUCGGACAAGCUGCAGACCAUUGUGGAGCGGCUGGUGGACCACUUUGUUUCCUCAGGGCUGAUGGUCAGAGAAUGGGACAGAGUGAAACUGCACGGCACAGUGAUGAACACUCUGUUCAGGAAGGAUGCUUCAGAGCUUUGGGUCGUACCAUUUUGGGGAGUUUGAUCUGAGUGCCGUCCAGAUUUCCCAGAGGUAUUCUACCGACUGCACCGGUUUCUACACCUCCGCUGGCCUUCUGAACUUCUCCUGACCGCCUCUCCCCUGAACGUUCACUCAGGUCAGAGGUGAACGAUGAAGCUUCAAGGUGGACUGGACCUGCAGAGAUGAAUGACCGGGUUACAGGGUGGACAUGUCAGAAAGCUCUAGGAUGUCCCUGUCACCGUGCACUUGGCUGCAGACCAAUCAAAUGCCAGUGGAAUUGUGUCAGAGAAUGCUGGCGUUGAUUUCCAUGGGACAUCGUGCUCCAUCUCCCCCAGUCACGUGCUUCCUGAUUAAACACUUGUCUUGUCAAAGUGUUUACGUUUCAACUGGAGUGAAAACAACCUGAUUAUAUUAAUGACACAUUGGGGUAAUGACACAUUGGGUUAAUGACACAUUGGGUUAAUGACACAUUGGGUUAAUGACACAUUGGGCUAAUGACACAUUGGGGUAAUGUUACAUUGGGGUAAUGACACACUGGGGUAAUGACACACUGGGGUAAUGUUACAUUGGGGUAAUGUUACAUUGGGGUAAUGUUACAUUGGGGUAAUGCCACAUUGGGGUAAUGAAACAUUGGGGUAAUGUUACAUUGGUUUAAUGACACAUUGGGGUAAUGUUACAUUGGGGUAAUGACACAUUGGGUUAAUGAUUACAUUGGGGUAAUGAUUACAUUGGGGUAAUGACACAUUGGGGUAAUGACACAUUGGGUUAAUGACACAUUGGGUUAAUGACACAUUGGGGUAAUGACACAUUGGUUUAAUGACACAUUGGGUUAAUGACACAUUGGGUUAAUGACACAUUGGGUUAAUGACACAUUGGGUUAAUGGCACAUUGGGUUAAUGGCACAUUGCGUUAAUGGCACAUUGGGUUAAUGGCAAAUUGGGUUAAUGACACAUUGGGGUAAUGUUACAUCGGUUUAAUGACACAUUGGGUUAAUGGCUUGCGUUGGGUUAAUGACACGUUGGGUUAAUGACACAUUGGGUUAAUGACACAUUGGGUUAAUGACACAUUGGGUUAAUGACACAUUGGGUUAAUGGCAUAUUGGGUUAAUGGCACAUUGGGUUAAUGACACGUUGGGUUAAUGACACAUUGGGUUAAUGACACAUUGGGUUAAUGACACAUUGGGUUAAUGACACAUUGGGUUAAUGACACAUUGGGUUAAUGACACAUUGGGGUAAUGACACAUUGGGUUAAUGACACAUUGGGUUAAUGACACAUUGGGGUAAUGACACAUUGGGGUAAUGACACAUUGGGGUAAUGACACAUUGGGGUAAUGACACAUUGGGUUAAUGACACAUUGGGUUAAUGACACAUUGGGUUAAUGACACAUUGGGGUAAUGACACAUUGGGGUAAUGACACAUUGGGGUAAUGACACAUUGGGGUAACAUUUGGUCUUGAUAUUUUUUCCCUCUAUGACAUAAGGUUCCACUAUUGUGAUAUGGGAUGAAUCUAUAAAAAACAAAACAUUUUAAUAAUAAACAGACAAAUUA
This is an RNA transcript of Oncorhynchus masou masou (cherry salmon), 2566 nucleotides long. It is a transcript of the gene named activating signal cointegrator 1 complex subunit 1, with no coding region annotated. NCBI's taxonomy places the organism in Eukaryota, Metazoa, Chordata, Actinopteri, Salmoniformes, Salmonidae. The transcript has 9 exons. The record is from RefSeq and is a predicted model, not a curated record.